GACGAACGCUGGCGGCGGGCUUAACACAUGCAAGUCGAACGGAAAGGCCCUGCUUUUGUGGGGUGCUCGAGUGGCGAACGGGUGAGUAACACGUGAGUAACCUGCCCUUGACUUUGGGAUAACUUCAGGAAACUGGGGCUAAUACCGGAUAGGAGCUCGUGCUGCAUGGUGGGGGUUGGAAAGUUUCGGCGGUUGGGGAUGGACGGGGGGCUUAUCAGCUUGUUGGUGGGGGAGUGGCUUACCAAGGCUUUGACGGGUAGCCGGCCUGAGAGGGUGACCGGCCACCUUGGGACUGAGGUACGGCCCAGACUCCUACGGGAGGCAGCAGUGGGGAAUAUUGCCCAAUGGGCGGAAGCCUGAUGCAGCAACGCCGCGUGCGGGAUGACGGCCUUCGGGUUGUAAACCGCUUUCGCCUGUGACGAAGCGUGAGUGACGGUAAUGGGUAAAGAAGCACCGGCUAACUACGUG
This 468-nucleotide ribosomal RNA is filed under the name uncultured bacterium. Its description in RNAcentral is "partial 16S ribosomal RNA". It matches the Rfam family "Bacterial small subunit ribosomal RNA", at positions 28 to 507 of the family's 1533-position model. The record is from RNAcentral.